Non-coding RNA from Oncorhynchus mykiss (rainbow trout), 2339 nucleotides. The record is from RefSeq and is a predicted model, not a curated record. NCBI's taxonomy places the organism in Eukaryota, Metazoa, Chordata, Actinopteri, Salmoniformes, Salmonidae.
AAAGUGAAAGAUAAAGUACAAUUGCGCAGAAAACAAACACCAACUGAGUGGAAAACGUGGUUACAAUUUCAAAAUCCAUUUAUCAUCACUUUUCAACAACUAAGCAGAUGCUCCUAUCCAGAGAGACAGUUAUUACCUCCAUUUUAAGAUGACUUUUGGUGAAACAACCACAUAUCACAGACAAAGUCCCUUGAAGCUGUCCUCAGACAACCCUCAACCAUCAUCACCUCUGGAUGUUCUACUACCAACAGACCUGCAGUAUUUCAACUGGGUCCCUUGAAGCUGUCCUCAGACAACCCUCAACCAUCAUCACCUCUGGAUGUUCUACCACCACCAGACCUGCAGUAAUUCAGCUGAGUGUUUUUACAGGAGUUCAUCAUUGGUGCUGUUGUGGGGAAAUGACAUAGGCCUCUCCCUUUCCAGCACACAAAUAAGAUCUGCAGCUUCUAGUGAACCGUCUAAGAGGAAGACAAUUAACAAAGUCAGAUAUGGCAACUGCUGGAAACAGACGUAGCAAGGAAAUUGGCCAUGAUAGUCCCUUGAAGCUGUCCUCAGACAACCCUCAACCAUCAUCACCUCUGGAUGUUCUACCACCACCAGACCUGCACCUCUCCCUUUCCAGCACACAACUAAGAUCUGCAGCUUCUAGUGAACCGUCUAAGAGGAAGACAAUUAACAAAGUCAGAUAUGGCAACUGCUGGAAACAGACGUAGCAAGGAAAUUGACCAUGAUAUGGGAUUGAAGUCAUCUGCUCCCCCCAAAUCCAUCAAAGCAGAAAAUAACCAGUCAGUCCAUCAGGGGUUCAAGUGACGACAGUAUGUCAUCAUCACAUGACGAGAGAUGGACAAAAGCACGAAAGGAAAUCAAGGAAAGUGUUGAAGUAUUCAGACAUCUCCUUGAUGAACAUUUGACGGACCUUCAGGCAAAAGUGAAAGAGCUUCGUCAGAUAGCUGACAGUUAUGAGACUUGGUACCAUGCCACUACUAGAGGUAGUCUGGUAGGGGGUAUUAUUGGGGCGACUGGAGGGAUCACUACUUUAGUAGGCCUUGCCCUGGCUCCAUUCACUUUCGGCUCCUCCAUGGUUGUUGCCGCGGUGGGUAUGGGAAUAGGUGUAACUGGUGGGAUUACUGGCGCUGCUUCUACCAUCACCAGCAUGGUGAGUCAAAAAAAUGACAGAGACAACAUUCAGUGCAUUCAGAAACAUUUUCUGGAAAAUGUCAAACCAAUUGAGGAAAGUUUGAGUAAAAUCAACUUGAAAGUUGAAGAAUUAAAGGCAAUGGCCAAUGAUCCAGCUAAACCAGGGGCUGAACUUUAUAAGAUAGCAUCUAGUCUGUAUUGUUUAGAACACGUGGUCUCUUUUGCUAAGCUUGCAAAUAUUGCCAAACUAGGUGCCUCAUCUUCUAAAUCUCUCCGUGCGGCAGCAGCAUUGACAGGGGUGCUCUCUAGCCUACUCCUAGUUCUUGACAUAAUGUUUAUUGUCAAGGAUGUCAAGGAACUUGAUGCAAUGGAAAAUGGAAACCAAAUUCAGUCAGACACAGUGAGGUUUAUUCAGACAAUCAGGGACAUGGCUAAACAGUAUAAGCAGGCUCUUGACACGUUUAAACAGGCAAAGGAAGAACUUGAUAGACUCGUAAAAGAAUGAACUGAAAAAAACAUUGUUUUCAUAUUAUUAUAAUCAGAUUAUACUGCUUGAAAGGGGUGUGAUUUUAUCAUUAUGUUCAGAUUAGAUAAUGUAUUCGACAAGGUAACUGUAUCCUGGGUUUAGAACUGUAGUGUAUGAACUAUGUAUAUGGACAUAUCAAGAUACAUGGUGGUAUUAUCCAUGACAUAUGGUCUAUCUUGAUUUUAUAUUUGUACAGAAACAUAGUGUUUGAUCUUUCUUACCUUUUAUAAUGUUAUUUGUUAAAUAUUUUGAACUGAAUUUGUUGAAAGAAAUGUGCUAAUGUGUGUUUGAUUGACUGGUUUUAUCUACUUGAAUUGAAAUAAUAUAUGACUAAUGUAUACAUUGAAAUGUACAUGGAUAGAAAUAGCUUGUAAUCUAGCUAAAGUAUGUGUCCUGAGGAUGUACAAGUAAAAAUGUUACCUAAAUGUAAAAUAUGCAUUUCACAUGUAAUUAACUGUAAAUAUCAACAUAUCAGCUAGGUCCCAAUGUACCAUAUAUGCCUUGGCAGUACUUUGAGGAAGUCAGCUAAGCAAUGUUCGUUAUUGAUGUUAAUUUUCUCCAAUUUUUUGAAGCACUUUGAAAUUCAUCAUCUGUAAGAAAUGUCCCAUAUAAACAAAGUUUGAUUAAACUGAACUUUUAUGUCUCUUAUGAAAAGUACAUUAACAGCAAAUGUAAA